AAACUGUAGAGUUUGAUUCUGGCUCAGAAUGAACGCUGGCGGCGUGCUUAACACAUGCAAGUCGAACGAGAAAGGUGGUGCUUGCACCGCCGAGUAGAGUGGCGCACGGGUGAGUAACGAGUAGAUAAUCUACCUUUGAAUUAGGGAUAACUAUGCGAAAGUGUAGCUAAUACCUGAUGAAGUCUAUGUAUUUUAGGAUGUGUAGAUGAAAGAGUGCUUUUUUUAAAGGCAUUUGUUUGAAGAUGAGUCUGCGUACCAUUAGUUAGUUGGUGGGGUAAAGGCUUACCAAGACGAUGAUGGUUAGCUGGUCUGAGAGGAUGAUCAGCCACACUGGAACUGGGACACGGUCCAGACUCCUACGGGAG
RNAcentral lists this ribosomal RNA (365 nucleotides) under Desulfamplus sp. Its description in RNAcentral is "bacterial SSU rRNA". It matches the Rfam family "Bacterial small subunit ribosomal RNA", at positions 1 to 347 of the family's 1533-position model. The record is from RNAcentral. Lineage: Bacteria; Pseudomonadati; Thermodesulfobacteriota; Desulfobacteria; Desulfobacterales; Desulfobacteraceae.